This is a small nuclear RNA of Camelus dromedarius (Arabian camel), 159 nucleotides long. Its record names the gene U1. It matches the Rfam family "U1 spliceosomal RNA". Rfam says of the family: U1 is a small nuclear RNA (snRNA) component of the spliceosome (involved in pre-mRNA splicing). Its 5' end forms complementary base pairs with the 5' splice junction, thus defining the 5' donor site of an intron. The record is from Ensembl. NCBI's taxonomy places the organism in Eukaryota, Metazoa, Chordata, Mammalia, Artiodactyla, Camelidae.
GUACUUACCUGGCAGGGGAGAGACCAUGAUCACGAAGGUGGUUUUCCCAGGGUGAGGCUCAUCCAUCGCUCUCCGGGUGUGCUGACCUCUGCGAUUCCCCCAAACGUGGGAAACUCGACUGCAUAAUUUGUGGCAAUGGGGGACUGCAUUCGUGCUAGA